RNAcentral lists this ribosomal RNA (394 nucleotides) under uncultured bacterium. RNAcentral's name for it is "partial 16S ribosomal RNA". It matches the Rfam family "Bacterial small subunit ribosomal RNA", at positions 338 to 729 of the family's 1533-position model. The record is from RNAcentral.
CCUACGGGAGGCAGCAGUGAGGAAUAUUGGUCAAUGGGCGGAAGCCUGAACCAGCCAAGUAGCGUGCAGGAUGACGGUCCUAUGGGUUGUAAACUUCUUUUAUACGGGAAUAAAGUGCCGUACGUGUAGGGUUUUGUAUGUACCGUAUGAAUAAGGACCGGCUAAUUCCGUGCCAUCAGCCGCGGUAAUACGGAAGGUCCGGGCGUUAUCCGGAUUUAUUGGGUUUAAAGGGAGCGUAGGCCGCCUUUUAAGUUAGCUGUGAAAUGCCCGGGCUCAACCCUAGACUUGCAGGGGGAACUGGGAGGCUUGAGUACGAUGGAGGCAGGCGGAAUGCGUGGUGUAGCGGUGAAAUGCUUAGAUAUGACGAAGAACCCCGAUUGCGAAGGCAGCUUGC